CCUACGGGUGGCAGCAGUGGGGAAUAUUGGGCAAUGGGCGCAAGCCUGACCCAGCAACGCCGCGUGAAGGAAGAAGGCUUUCGGGUUGUAAACUUCUUUUCUCAGGGACGAAGCAAGUGACGGUCCCUUAGGAAUAAGCCACGUCUAACUACGGGCCAGCAGCCGCGGUAAUACGUAGGUCGCAAGCGUUAUCCGGAUUUUCUGGGUGUAAGGGGCGUGUAGGCGGGACUGCACGUCAGAUGUGAAAACCACGGGCACAACCUGUGGCCUGCAGUGGAAACUGUAGUGCUUGAGUGCGGGAGAGGCAGACGGAAUUCCUAGUGUAGCGGUGAAAUGCGUAGAUAUUAGGAGGAACACCAGUGGCGAAGGCGG
Molecule: ribosomal RNA, 372 nt
Filed under: uncultured bacterium
Lineage: Bacteria
Description: partial 16S ribosomal RNA
Rfam family: Bacterial small subunit ribosomal RNA
Source: RNAcentral